Molecule: small nuclear RNA, 100 nt
Filed under: Capra hircus (goat)
Lineage: Eukaryota; Metazoa; Chordata; Mammalia; Artiodactyla; Bovidae
Source: RNAcentral
GUGGUUGCUUUGGCAGCACAUACACUAAAAUUGGAAUGAUGCAGAGAAGAUUAGCAUGGCCCCUGCAUAAGGAUGACAUGCAAAUUCAUUCCAUUUUUUU